UUCGUAGGUGGCAAGCGUUGUCCGGAUUUACUGGGUGUAGAGGGCGUGCAGCCGGGUCUGCGAGUCAGAUGUGAAAUCCAGGGGCUCAACUCCUGAACUGCAUUUGAAACUGUAGAUCCUGAGUACCGGAGGGGCAAUCGGAAUUCCUAGUGUAGCGGUGAAAUGCGUAGAUAUUAGGAGGAACACCAGUGGCGAAGGCGGAUUGCUGGACGGCAACUGACGGUGAGGCGCGAAAGUGUGGGGAGCAAAC
Molecule: ribosomal RNA, 250 nt
Filed under: uncultured prokaryote
Description: partial 16S ribosomal RNA
Rfam family: Bacterial small subunit ribosomal RNA
Source: RNAcentral